This is a small nuclear RNA of Saimiri boliviensis boliviensis (Bolivian squirrel monkey), 166 nucleotides long. RefSeq annotates it as U1 spliceosomal RNA. The record is from RefSeq and is a predicted model, not a curated record. Lineage: Eukaryota; Metazoa; Chordata; Mammalia; Primates; Cebidae.
ACCCUUCCACCUGGCAGGGGAGAUACCAUGAUCAUGAAGGUGGUUUUCCCAGGGCGAGGCUUAUCCAUUGCACUCCGGAUGUGCUGGCCUCUGCGAUUUCCCCAAAUGUGGGAAACUCGACUGCAUAAUUUGUGGUAGCAGGGGACUGUGGUCGCGCUUUCCCUGG